GAUCAUGGCUCAGAUUGAACGCUGGCGGCAUGCCUUACACAUGCAAGUCGAACGGUAACAGGUCUUCGGAUGCUGACGAGUGGCGAACGGGUGAGUAAUACAUCGGAACGUGCCCGAUCGUGGGGGAUAACGAAGCGAAAGCUUUGCUAAUACCGCAUACGAUCUACGGAUGAAAGCAGGGGACCGCAAGGCCUUGCGCGAACGGAGCGGCCGAUGGCAGAUUAGGUAGUUGGUGGGAUAAAAGCUUACCAAGCCGACGAUCUGUAGCUGGUCUGAGAGGACGACCAGCCACACUGGAACUGAGACACGGUCCAGACUCCUACGGGAGGCAGCAGUGGGGAAUUUUGGACAAUGGACGCAAGUCUGAUCCAGCCAUUCCGCGUGCAGGAUGAAGGCCCUCGGGUUGUAAACUGCUUUUGUACGGAACGAAAAGGUUUCCAUUAAUACUGGGAGCUCAUGACGGUACCGUAAGAAUAAGCACCGGCUAACUACGUG
RNAcentral lists this ribosomal RNA (495 nucleotides) under uncultured bacterium. RNAcentral's name for it is "bacterial SSU rRNA". It matches the Rfam family "Bacterial small subunit ribosomal RNA", at positions 15 to 507 of the family's 1533-position model. The record is from RNAcentral.